AGAGUUUGAUCCUGGCUCAGGACGAACGCUGGCGGCGCGCCUAACACAUGCAAGUCGAACGAGCGAGAGAGAGCUUGCUUUCUCGAGCGAGUGGCGAACGGGUGAGUAACGCGUGAGGAACCUGCCUCAAAGAGGGGGACAACAGUUGGAAACGACUGCUAAUACCGCAUAAGCCCACGGGUCGGCAUCGACCAGAGGGAAAAGGAGCAAUCCGCUUUGAGAUGGCCUCGCGUCCGAUUAGCUGGUUGGUGAGGUAACGGCCCACCAAGGCGACGAUCGGUAGCCGGACUGAGAGGUUGAACGGCCACAUUGGGACUGAGACACGGCCCAGACUCCUACGGGAGGCAGCAGUGGGGAAUAUUGCACAAUGGGGGAAACCCUGAUGCAGCGACGCCGCGUGGAGGAAGAAGGUCUUCGGAUUGUAAACUCCUGUUGUUGGGGAAGAUAAUGACGGUACCCAACAAGGAAGUGACGGCUAACUACGUGCCAGCAGCCGCGGUAAAACGUAGGUCACAAGCGUUGUCCGGAAUUACUGGGUGUAAAGGGAGCGCAGGCGGGAAGACAAGUUGGAAGUGAAAUCCAUGGGCUCAACCCAUGAACUGCUUUCAAAACUGUUUUUCUUGAGUAGUGCAGAGGUAGGCGGAAUUCCCGGUGUAGCGGUGGAAUGCGUAGAUAUCGGGAGGAACACCAGUGGCGAAGGCGGCCUACUGGGCACCAACUGACGCUGAGGCUCGAAAGUGUGGGUAGCAAACAGGAUUAGAUACCCUGGUAGUCCACACCGUAAACGAUGAUUACUAGGUGUUGGAGGAUUGACCCCUUCAGUGCCGCAGUUAACACAAUAAGUAAUCCACCUGGGGAGUACGACCGCAAGGUUGAAACUCAAAGGAAUUGACGGGGGCCCGCACAAGCAGUGGAGUAUGUGGUUUAAUUCGACGCAACGCGAAGAACCUUACCAAGUCUUGACAUCCGUUGACCGACAUAGAAAUAUGUUUUUCCUUCGGGACAGCGAGACAGGUGGUGCAUGGUUGUCGUCAGCUCGUGUCGUGAGAUGUUGGGUUAAGUCCCGCAACGAGCGCAACCCUUAUGGUCAGUUACUACGCAAGAGGACUCUGGCCAGACUGCCGUUGACAAAACGGAGGAAGGUGGGGAUGACGUCAAAUCAUCAUGCCCUUUAUGACUUGGGCUACACACGUACUACAAUGGCGUUAAACAAAGAGAAGCAAGACCGCGAGGUGGAGCAAAACUCAGAAACAACGUCCCAGUUCGGACUGCAGGCUGCAACUCGCCUGCACGAAGUCGGAAUUGCUAGUAAUCGUGGAUCAGCAUGCCACGGUGAAUACGUUCCCGGGCCUUGUACACACCGCCCGUCACACCAUGAGAGCCGGGGGGACCCGAAGCCGGUAGUCUAACCGCAA
Molecule: ribosomal RNA, 1415 nt
Filed under: metagenome
Description: bacterial SSU rRNA
Rfam family: Bacterial small subunit ribosomal RNA
Source: RNAcentral